UCAAUGGCGAACUUCAACAUGAAUACAAUGACUUCCUUCUCUCACUUGCUUGGUUCCUCAACCAAAAUUCCGAUGUUAAUUCCAGAAUACUAUGAUCAGUGGGCUGAUAGAAUGGAAGAUUACUUAAAUGGAAUUGAUGAAGAACUUUGGAAUUGUAUCGAUGGAACAGUGCAAGCUCCUGCUAAUGUUCAACCAAUUGGACCAUCUACUGCAUCUGCUGAAGUUGCUGAUCAACAAAAACGGUUGAAGAAUAAUGAAAAGAGGUGCAUGAGGGAACUAAGAGGUGCUCUUCCUCCUGUGGUUUAUAAUUACAUUCGUAGUUGUAAAACAACAAAGGAGAUCUGGAACACUCUAAAAGAGAAGUAUCAAGGUAGCGAAAAGACGAAGAUCAACUCUGUGAAGCAAUGUCUAGUUGAACUGAAGGAAUUCAGACAAAAGGAUGCUGAAACUCUUGAAAAUUACUAUGAUCGUCUGAAUGAGCUUAUGUUUCGCUGCAAUAGGUAUGGAAUCACUAGGUCUCUCAUGGAGUUCAAUUU
Molecule: long non-coding RNA, 536 nt
Filed under: Lactuca sativa (garden lettuce)
Lineage: Eukaryota; Viridiplantae; Streptophyta; Magnoliopsida; Asterales; Asteraceae
Description: long non-coding RNA (LSAT_LNC005349)
Source: RNAcentral